RNAcentral lists this ribosomal RNA (309 nucleotides) under uncultured bacterium. Its description in RNAcentral is "bacterial SSU rRNA". It matches the Rfam family "Bacterial small subunit ribosomal RNA", at positions 29 to 334 of the family's 1533-position model. The record is from RNAcentral.
AACGAACGCUGGCGGCGUGCUUAACACAUGCAAGUCGAACGCGAACGAUUUCUUUCGGGAAAUUUAGUAGAGUGGCGCACGGGUGAGUAACGCGUAAGUAAUCUACCUAGGCAUCUGGGAUAACAAUUCGAAAGGAUUGCUAAUACCGGAUACGUUGGAGACAAGAAAGGUGGCCUCUGUUUCAUGCUACUGUGCUUAGAGGAGCUUGCGUACCAUUAGCUAGUUGGUGGGGUAAUGGCCUACCAAGGCGACGAUGGUUAGUGGGUCUGAGAGGAUGAUCCGCCACACUGGAACUGGAACACGGACCAG